RNAcentral lists this long non-coding RNA (1991 nucleotides) under Monodelphis domestica (gray short-tailed opossum). Its description in RNAcentral is "lncRNA (ENSMODG00000045698.1)". Lineage: Eukaryota; Metazoa; Chordata; Mammalia; Didelphimorphia; Didelphidae. The record is from RNAcentral.
AAUGUGCUGGGCUUGGAAUCAGAAAGUACUGAAUUUAUAUCUGUUCUCAUACAUUUACUGGCUGUGUGGCCCUAAGCAAAGUCACUCCACCUGUUUGCCUCAGUUUCCUCAUCUGUAAGGUGAGCUGGAGAAGGAAAUGGUGAACCACUCCAGUAUCUUUGCCAAGAAAACUCUAAACAGAGAAUUGAAAAGUGGUAUGUGCCUAAAAAUAACUCAACAACUACAUAUAUACAUGCAUACAUAUAUGUGUAUAAAUGUGUGUUUAAAAUUAAAAGACUGCAAGGCUCAAUUUAUAAUGGCCAUUUUUCAAGGCAUAGAGAGGACCAUAGGAAUCGGUUUCUUAUAGGAAUAUUUCCCUACAAAGUGGGGAUUAUCCUGUAAUAGUAGUAUUAUAAAAGGCAUUUAUUUCUCUCAUUGUUUGGUCCCACAGCCUCAAUAGAUUUAGGAAGAGAAGAGAUUCAAACAUCUUCUCUCCUGCCCCAACUGGUGUUACUGAAGCAUUGCAGCAAGAUGGCAUCAUUUUUUAAUCAUCUUCUAAGACUCCUAAUGUGUUUGGGCUCCUUUUAAAUUGUAACAAGACUUUCAUUUCUUCAUAGAAGGGUCAAAUAUUGUGUGAGUCUAUGACAACCUAAGGUCCAUUGAGCAAGUCCCCUUUUUCCUCUUCAGCCCCAAUCGAAAUAUGCUCUGUUGUUGAUGAAUCUCGAAGGGGGAGAGGAGAGGGAAGAAGAGGAAAUGAGCGUGUUGUGUCAAAAUAAACAAGUUGAAGAAAAUCCCAAUAAACCAUCAAAAGAUAUCAGUCAUCUUCCAGAGUUCAGCCCAAGUUUGGUCAGAGGGUAGGCAGGAACCAUGGGCCCAGAACUCAGAAAUGACUGACUUUCAUCAUGAAAACUGGGAUUCUCCUUCUAAGCAGUGCUUGCCAUCAGCUCCUCCAGCAUCAGGUAGCAAGCAUACUUUCAAGUCCUUGGCCAUCUUUUUAUUUCUUGUCACAGUUACCCUGUCCUUGCCAUCGAGGGCUAAUGAGGCUCUUAAGUGAAGAUAACGGGACGAGCAUGCAUGCAGCGUCCACUGGGUGCUGGCCCAGAUGGGAAUGCUGCUAACAAGUCAGACGCAGCUAUUGCUCCAAAGGAGCUCGCCAUCCAAAGAGGCCAAUUGCUGAGUGUUUGGGGUAGAGGCUGACCCAGGAGUCAGUGUAGGAACCCUGAGCGGAGCCUGGAGCCUCUUUUCUUUCCCUCUAGCUGCUGUCCCAACAGCCCGAGCCUCGGAAACAGCUCUGGGCUCUGACACGGUGGAGGGGGCUUUGGCUGGGGACCAGGGGGUGAAAGACGUUUAGUUCAGGGCUCAGGAAGAUCUUCAAGCUCAGGGCUCAAGUCACCCAUCAUUACUGUAAGUCAACAAUGCUGUCCCUGAGGGAGGAUUUUAUGAGCAACCCUGGAGCAAUCUCAACAGGAAGAUUUACGGAAGUUCUAAGCAACCAACUGGCAAAAAGAACUCUGGGAAUGAAAGAGAGGCCUGUCUACACUUACGUAGUGGGGGGGGGGGGGGCGGGGUAGGUGAAUGGUGAAAAGUCUUCUAGCCCCAAAGAACUGAGCUGACGGGGCAAAUAAUGCUAGUCAAGAGCUUCACACUUAGACAAGUCCUGAUGUUGGCUGCAGAAGUUUGGGGCUUGAUACUCCCUGUCCCUCUUCUCCCUCCCCCACCCGACUAGAUCCUCUCUCUCCUCCCCAUUUCCAAUUCAUUAUGCAACUGAAAGGCAAAACGUGAAAAGGGAGGGGAAGAUUCUCUCCCAGAUCUGGACCUCGUUCUUCUUCUGUCAAAUGAGUCAGCUGGAUUGACAGUGAAAUCUCUUGGACAAUUUUGCCUCUCUAGAAGAAGAGUCGUGUCUUCACCAAAUGUUCCAUCUCUACCUUACUCAGCACAUGGCUCUGCACGAAGUAGGUGCUAAUCAAUGUUGAAUUCAAUUCAGUUCAGAAAGCAUUAUUAGGCACCCACUG